RNAcentral lists this small RNA (83 nucleotides) under Marmota monax (woodchuck). Lineage: Eukaryota; Metazoa; Chordata; Mammalia; Rodentia; Sciuridae. The record is from RNAcentral.
GCUGGGCACAGUGGCGCUCGCCUGUAAUCCCAGCACUUUGGGAAGCUGAGGCAGGAGGAUUAUGAGUUCAAAGCCAGCCUCAG